UAUCUCUGUAGAGUCUGCAUAUCAAUAAGCGGAAGGAAAAGAAACUAACUAGGAUUCCCUCAGUAACGGCGAGUGAAGCGGGAAGAGCUCAAAUUUGAAAUCUUCAAGGUUCUACCUUGACGAAUUGUAGUUUAAAGAAGUGUUUUCUGUUGGAGUUUUGGUAAAUGUUCUUUGGAAUAGGACAUCAUAGAGGGUGAGAAUCCCGUAUUUGACCAUUACUUUCCAGCGUUGUGAUACACUUUCAAAGAGUCGGAUUGUUUGGGAAUGCAGUCCAAAAUGGGUGGUAAAUUUCAUCUAAAGCUAAAUACUGGCGAGAGACCGAUAGCGAACAAGUACCGUGAGGGAAAGAUGAAAAGAACUUUGAAAAGAGAGUUAAACAGUACGUGAAAUUGUCAAAAGGGAAGCGUUUGACACCAGUGUUGUUUUCUCGAAAAUCAAUUAAAAAAGGCAGGAUUUUGUGUUGUAUUGACUUUAUCAGCUUUCUGCACUCUUUUCUUGUCUUUUUUAAUGCACUUUUCGUUUAACAAGUCAACAUCAAUUUCUUUUGUUGUAAAAGGGUCAUUGGAAGGUGGCUUUCUUUUCGGAGAAAGUGUUUAUAGCCUUUGGCCUCUGCAAUCGGAGAGAUUGAGGUCUGCAGCGUAGAUCCUUCGGGGUUAGAUACAGUUAGAUGCUAAGUUAUAGCCUUUUCAUAGACAACUUGUUGACUAUAAUCAUCAUGUAGCUUACUCGCUUAUGCUAUUUUACCUACGCUUAGGAUGUUGACGAUCAGCUGAGCGCG
This 778-nucleotide ribosomal RNA is filed under the name uncultured Neocallimastigales. RNAcentral describes it as "partial large subunit ribosomal RNA". It matches the Rfam family "Eukaryotic large subunit ribosomal RNA", at positions 24 to 627 of the family's 3401-position model. The record is from RNAcentral. Lineage: Eukaryota; Fungi; Neocallimastigomycota; Neocallimastigomycetes; Neocallimastigales.